UUAAAUUACAUACGUUUUUCUUUAGUAUUAAUUUGCCUAACUGUCGAUCUGACCCUGUAGACGCCAUAAUCACACACUCUCUCUCUCUC
Long non-coding RNA from Sinocyclocheilus anshuiensis, 89 nucleotides. RefSeq lists it as uncharacterized. The transcript is spliced from 3 exons. NCBI's taxonomy places the organism in Eukaryota, Metazoa, Chordata, Actinopteri, Cypriniformes, Cyprinidae. The record is from RefSeq and is a predicted model, not a curated record.